RNAcentral lists this small nuclear RNA (98 nucleotides) under Suricata suricatta (meerkat). Lineage: Eukaryota; Metazoa; Chordata; Mammalia; Carnivora; Herpestidae. The record is from RNAcentral.
GUGCUUGCUUCAGUGCACAUACACUAAAAUUGAAAUGAAACGGAGCAGAUUAGCAUGGUCUCUGUGGCAAGGAAAUUCGCGAGGCAUUCCCUUUAGUA